AUGAACGGUCUAUUUUGGAAUUGCAGAGGGGCAGGAAAAAGAGGGAGGACUACCUGCUUCUCUGAUAUCAUUAGAGACCACUCCCUCGACUUUAUGGGCAUCCUAGAAACGAAGAAAGAUAACUUUACUCCUAAAUAUCUUAGGAAAGUUGACCCCUCUGAAAGAUUUAGUUGGAACUGGAUUCCUUCCACUGGUAAAUCUGGUGGCAUCCUUUGUGGGAUCAAAAAAGAAACCUUGGAAAAUAUAUCUUGGGAGGCAGGGAAAUAUAUGUUACAAGCCACGGUCUAUGACACUAAGCUCAAGUGUGUUUGGACCCUUGUGGUGGUUUAUGGGGCAGCUCAAGAGGAUAAGAGAGACGAGUUCCUAGAUGAGCUUGCUUCGGUGUGCAGCAAUAUUAAAACACCCUAUGUAAUUGGCGGGGAUUUUAACAUUUUAAGGGAUGGUAGUGAUAAGAACAAGUCUCUCCAUAGGUCGCAUCAUAUGGACAGAUUUAACACUAUCAUCCAGGCGUUAAACCUUAGAGAGAUUCACAUGGGAGGAGGCAGAUUCACGUGGUCCAAUAAACAGAGACAUCCCACGCUCGAGAAACUCGAUAGAGUGCUCAUGAGCUUUGAUUGGGAGAGUCUAUUCCCACUGGUUGCAGUUCGUAAACUAGUGAGAGAUAUUUCUGAUCACAACCCGUUGCUGUUGAUGACUAACCCCCUGAAUAGGAGUCCCAUGCGCCAACGUGAGUUCAUAUUUGAACUCAGCUGGCUAAAGAAUGAGGAUUUUUACGAAAAAGCUAAGAACAUUUGGGAACAACCU
Molecule: ribosomal RNA, 804 nt
Filed under: Triticum aestivum (bread wheat)
Lineage: Eukaryota; Viridiplantae; Streptophyta; Magnoliopsida; Poales; Poaceae
Description: partial small subunit ribosomal RNA
Source: RNAcentral